AAAAACAACUAUUGUCACAAUCGCUAUUGUCUCGCUUAGCGAAGGCUUAGCGAAGCUUCGCUGCAGGCUCGCCUAGCGAAUGCCUGCGGGUUUUGGAUUCUCCAUUGAUAACAGUAUGAUUUUAGAAAUCGCCAACCCUAUGGUAUCCAUCUCAGCAACGAAGUGAUUAAACAUUCAAGGCAUUAUUCUACACAUUCAUGCACAUCUAAACCCACACGUAAAAC
RNAcentral lists this long non-coding RNA (224 nucleotides) under Lathyrus oleraceus (garden pea). Its description in RNAcentral is "Pisum sativum (pea) long non-coding RNA (PSAT_LNC020932)". The record is from RNAcentral. Lineage: Eukaryota; Viridiplantae; Streptophyta; Magnoliopsida; Fabales; Fabaceae.